UACGUAGGGUGCAAGCGUUAAUCGGAAUUACUGGGCGUAAAGCGUGCGCAGGCGGUUGUGUAAGUCUGACGUGAAAUCCCCGGGCUCAACCUGGGAAUUGCGUUGGAGACUGCAAGGCUAGAAUCUGGCAGAGGGGGGUAGAAUUCCACGUGUAGCAGUGAAAUGCGUAGAGAUGUGGAGGAACACCGAUGGCGAAGGCAGCCCCCUGG
RNAcentral lists this ribosomal RNA (209 nucleotides) under uncultured bacterium. RNAcentral describes it as "partial 16S ribosomal RNA". It matches the Rfam family "Bacterial small subunit ribosomal RNA", at positions 524 to 732 of the family's 1533-position model. The record is from RNAcentral.